RNAcentral lists this ribosomal RNA (461 nucleotides) under Eubacterium sp. oral taxon G79. RNAcentral describes it as "bacterial SSU rRNA". It matches the Rfam family "Bacterial small subunit ribosomal RNA", at positions 28 to 498 of the family's 1533-position model. The record is from RNAcentral. Lineage: Bacteria; Bacillati; Bacillota; Clostridia; Eubacteriales; Eubacteriaceae.
GAUGAACGUUGCGGCGUGUUAACCACAUGCAAGUUCGAGCGAGAAGUUUUGAAAAGAUUUCUUCGGAUGAAAUUUAAAAUGGAAACGCCGACGGUGAGUAACGCGUAGCACUUGCCCAUACAAAGGGAUAGCAUUGGAAACGAAUAUUAAUCCUUAUGAAACUUAACUAGGCAUGCUAGUAGUCAAAGAUUUAUCGGUAUGGAAUGGGCCUGCGUUCUGAUUAGUAGUUGGUGAGGUAACGGCUCACCAAGGCGACGAUCAGUAGCCGACCUGAAAGGGUGAACGGCCACAUUGGAACUGAGACACGGUCCCAACUUCCUACGGGAGGCAGCAUGGGGAAUAUGCCCCAAUGGGGGAAACCCUGAUGCAGCAACGCCGCGUGAACGAUGAAGGCCUUUGGGUCGUAAAGUUUCUGUUCUAGGUGAUGAAAACUGACAGUAACUUAGGAGAAAGCCCCGGAA